Molecule: small nucleolar RNA, 130 nt
Organism: Alosa alosa (allis shad)
Lineage: Eukaryota; Metazoa; Chordata; Actinopteri; Clupeiformes; Clupeidae
Source: RefSeq, a predicted model, not a curated record
UUCCAAAGUGUUGAGUUCAGUUCUGGGCCUCUUCCCCAGUCCUGGUAAUUUAUCUUUGGCACAGCAUCAUGCUAUGGGUUAUUUGUUUGGGUUGGUCCUUCCAUGUCCACCUCACUCUAACCAUAGCUAA